AACGUUCCCUAGUUUGCCUAGUUUAAAAUCCUAGGAAACGCAACUGUGUGGUAAACAUUUAAGGUUUAUAUGCUCUUAUCCGUUUUGUGUUUUUGCAUGUUUUGUCCGGAGGUUGAGUUAUAUUUGUAUAAUUUGUUUUAAAGUUUUUGAAUUGUGGUAUUUUUUAAAUGAUUUUCUUUUUAUUUAUUUUUAGUUGCUAUAAACCUGAC
Molecule: long non-coding RNA, 209 nt
Filed under: Mytilus galloprovincialis (Mediterranean mussel)
Lineage: Eukaryota; Metazoa; Mollusca; Bivalvia; Mytilida; Mytilidae
Source: RNAcentral